CCUACGGGCGGCAGCAGUGGGGAAUAUUGGGCAAUGGGCGCAAGCCUGACCCAGCACCGCCGCGUGAAGGAAGAAGGCUUUCGGGUUGUAAACUUCUUUUGUCAGGGACGAAGCAAGUGACGAUACCUUACAAAUAAGCUCCGGCUAACUACGUGCCAGCAGCCGCGUUAAUACGUAGGUGGCAAGCGUUAUCCGGAUUUACGGGGUGUAAAGGGCGGGUAGGCGGGACUGCAAGUCAGAUGUGAAAUCCAAGGGCUCAACCUGUGGACUGCAUUUGAUACUGUAGUUCGUGAGUACUGGAGAGGAAGACGGAAUUCCUAGUGUAGCGGUGAAAUGCGUAGAUAUUAGGAGGAACACCAGUGGCGAAGGCGGUCUGCUGGACAGCAACUGACGCUGAGGCGCGAAAGCGUGGGGAGCAAACAGGAUUAGAUACCCCAGUAGUC
Molecule: ribosomal RNA, 443 nt
Filed under: uncultured bacterium
Lineage: Bacteria
Description: partial 16S ribosomal RNA
Rfam family: Bacterial small subunit ribosomal RNA
Source: RNAcentral